RNAcentral lists this small nucleolar RNA (112 nucleotides) under Ochotona princeps (American pika). RNAcentral's name for it is "Small nucleolar RNA SNORA74 (ENSOPRG00000022950.1)". Lineage: Eukaryota; Metazoa; Chordata; Mammalia; Lagomorpha; Ochotonidae. The record is from RNAcentral.
CGCAGCUGUAGGCAACUGUCUAGGUUGCCUUUUACCUAGGCAAAUGUUACACUGCUGGGAGAAAAGCAAUCAAUAGUUGGCAGGCAUUCUGGACCUGGUUAAUGCCAAAUUU